Molecule: long non-coding RNA, 6365 nt
Filed under: Sus scrofa (pig)
Lineage: Eukaryota; Metazoa; Chordata; Mammalia; Artiodactyla; Suidae
Description: lncRNA (ENSSSCG00015024561.1)
Source: RNAcentral
AGCUCAUCAACUAGCACUUCUGGUUCCCCUACUUUGAACCACACAAUUCUUUGUCAGGUUAUGACUGUCGACACCACAGGAUCAGAACUGCCAGAGUGAUCCUCCAGAAACACGAGCCAGAUCCUGCCGUGCCCCUGCUCUGAAACUUUAAUGGGUCCCCACUGUCUGUAGGGGAGCAUCUAAACAUGAGAGUAUGACGUUCAAGUACUACCUAAUUUUCAGGCCUCAUUUCCUACCUCCUUCUUUCCAAAUGUCCAUUUGGAUUGUAACAGGGCUAUUUAACAUUCUCCUAGGCCUACCAGAAAAUAUCAUAAUGGUCUCCAUGCUUUCAUCUUCUUUCUCAAUUUCCCUUACAACCUGUAAACAUGUCACUCAUCGCUAAAGAUUCAAUUCAAAGAUCCAGUUUUCUAUCAAAGUUUGCUUGCUUUCCCCAGUCAGAAACCCCUCACCCCUUCCUUGCAGGGCCAGAACAAAGAUCCUUAGUACCAGGAUUUCCUGUCUUGAAUGCUGGGCAACGGUCCCUGUCUGCCCACCCACACAACUGUGAGCUCCUUGAGGAUGGAGCCCUGCCAUGAUUCAUGCUCUACUCUCACGACAGUGAUGCAGGACGAUGUGUUAGCAGUUUCCUCUAAGACAGCAGACUUGGCCUAAAUAAAUAAAUAAAACGAUUCAAAAUAAGAUGAAGUAUUUAGACUCUUCUCCUAAUAAUGUCAUUCUCACACCUUUCCUAGCUCUCUUGAGUAGAAAAGGGUCAAGUUCAAGUUAGGAUGUGAGGAAUGAUGCAUAUCCAUGAGCUCUCUCACAGAUGUGUGUCUUGUGUAUUUUCGGAGAAAAAUAAAAAGCAUUGAGAAAUGCCACUCUCAGGGUUCCCAUCAUGGCACAGCAGAAACAUAUCUGACCAGGAACCAUGAGAUUACGGGUUCCAUCCCUGGCCUUGCUCAGUGGGCCAGGGAUCGGAUCUGCAACCUCAUGGUUCCUAGUCAGAUUCUUUUCUGCUGUGCCACGAUAGGAACACUUUUUUUUUCCAAGGCCAUAGGUGCCACAUGUGGAAGUUCUCAGGCUAGGGGUUAAAUUGGAGCUACAGCUGCUGACCUACGCCACAGCCACAGCAAUGCUGGAUCCGAGCCUCAUCUGCAAUCUACACCACAGCUCAUGGCAAUGCCAGAUCCUUAACCCACUGAGAGAGGUCAGGAAUCCAACCUGCAUCCUCUUGGAUACUAGUUGGAUUCGUUUCCACUGAGCCACAACAGAAACUGUCCACACUGUCAUUUUGAAAUUAAAAGAGGUAUUUCCCAUUGUGGCUCAGCAUAAACAAAUCCAACUAGUGUCCACGAGGGUGUGGGUUUGAUCACUGGCCGCGCUUAGUGGGUGGGGGAUUUGGCAUCACUGUGAGCUGUGGUGUAGGCUGCAGAGCUGGAUCCCGAAUUGCUGUGGCUGGGGUGUAGGCUAGCAACUGCAGCUCUGAUUUGACCCCUAGCCUGGGAACUUCCAUAUGCCAUGGGUGCGGCCCUAAAAAGCCAAAANAAAAAAAAAAAGAGAGAGAGAGCCAAUGACCAAAUGCCUUUCACUCACUGAAGGCUUUCUAUGAACCAGGCAUUUGGGGGGGUGGCUGGAGGGGUUAAAAUUUUAUGACAACACUAGAAUCUUUAACCCCCUGCACUGUGCCAGGGAUUAAAUUGGCACCUGCACAGUGACCUGAGCCAUUGCAGUCAGAUUCUUAACCCACUGUGCCACAGCGGGAACUCCAGAUCAGGUGUUUUUUCAAGUGCAUCAUCUAAGUUUUAGGUAUCCCUACAAAAUAAGCAGUCACAUCCCUAUUUUACAGAUAAAGAGAACCUCAGAGAGGCUAAUGCAUGUCCCCAUGCGUAAUGGCCAGGAAGUUACAGAGUCAAGAUUGCAACUCAGGAACGCCUGACACCAAGGCCCAUGGAUUUUUCUCCUAUGACCCCAGUCUUAGUCCUGUUGGGCUGCUCCAACAAAAUACCACAGACUGAACAGCUCAUAGACCACACAUUUUUCACAGUCCUGAAGGCUGGAAGUCCCCGAUCAGGGUGCAAGUGUGGUUGGGAGGGCCCCUCUUCAGGGCCGCAGACUUCUCAUGUCUACACAUGGUGGAAGGGGCUAGGGAGCUUUCUGGAACCCCUUUUAUAAGGGCACCGAUCCUAUUCGUGAUGGGGAACCAUCUUGACUUAAGCAUCUCCCAAAGGCCCCACCAUUAAUACCAUUAACUUUGGAGGUUAUAAUUUCAACAUGUGAAUUGGGGAGACACAACCAUUCAGACCAUAGCAUCCUCUAAACCUCUAAGGGCCCAGAUCUUACAUUCAUAGCCUCUGUGAUCCUACAAAACCCAAGAGCUUUGGUGAAAGUUUAAAAAAAAAGGCAGCAGUUAGGGAAGUACCUCCUUUGUCUGAGCAAGGCACCUUCAUAGCUUUUUUCCAUCCUCUACUCACAGCCAAGUUUCUUCUCCCCAGAGCAGUACUUUACCCAAAAAUAACUUCAUGACAGGCUAAAAUAGAAAAAGGAGUACAGAUAAAAUGUGGCAAGUUGCCCAAAAGGAUUUCCUGCUGGACGCAAACUCUCCAAGGCAGUGAAUUUUCCUUCAGGUAAAAUACAAAAACGUGUAAAGUUAAGGAAAAGAGGGGGGGAACAGGGUGGGAGGCCUGCUUUGCUGCACCACACAGGCCCAGGUAAGUACUACCUGCUCUUGAAUAAGAACAUCACCGUUUUUGCUAAGCAGUUUUCCCCUAGUCAACCAAAAAGUAUCAAUCCUCUUGAUAAUCUGUAUGGAAGAAAAUAAAAUUGCCUAGAAGGCCAUCAGAGCAGUGGCUGCCCUGGUGGUCCACACCUGCCAGAAUGAAGACCUCAUCCCAUCCUUUGUAUAUUCCUUUUUUUUUUUUAGGGCCGCACCUAUGGCCCGUGGAGGCUCCCAGGCUAGGGGUUGAAUCAGAGCUGUAGAUGCCAGCCUAUACCAGAGCCACAGCAAUGCUGGAUUCAAGCCGCGUCUGCAACCCACACCACAGCCCGCGGCAACACCAGAGCCUCAACCCACCAAGCGAGGCCAGGGAUUGAACCCGCAACCCCAUGGCUCCUAGUCAGAUUCAUUAACCACUGGGCCACGAUGGGAACUCCACUCCCUUGUAUAUUCUUACAGCCAACAGUGGCUGAACACCUACAAUGCAAAAAGCAUCUGCUAGAGGCUGAGAAUAAAGAUGAAAAUAAUUUGCAACUCCUUCCCCAGAUAGUUCACUCCAGCCCGGAAGUCAGACAAGCAAGCAUACAGUUAACUAUAGCUGGAUAAAUCAUAAAUGAAGGGAUUGUGGAAAAAGAGUUGAAACAAGAAGGAAACACCCAACACAGUGUGGGGAAAGGGCUUCUUAAGCUGAGUUUGAAAUAACAAGUAGGUGUUUAUCAGAGGUGUGAGAACCAGGAAAAUAUCUCUAGCAGGGAGAACAGGGUGUGCAAGGAUAUGCAAAUCAGGAUAUGCAAAUCAGGAACCAGGGAGAAAAUGACUCCAAAUGUGAAAGGAUGGGGUGGGGAGGAGGUCAGAUCUGUUAGGUGAACAGAGGGUAAAAUUGUACACUUCAGCUUCCCCUUAUGGGUCAGCAGGUUAAAAACCUGAUGCAGUGUCCAUGAGAAUAUGGGUUCAAUCCCUGGCCUUGUUCAGUGGGUGAAGAAUCUGGCAUUGCCACAAGUUGUAGUGCAGGUCGUGAAUGCAGCUUGGACCUGGCAUGGCUGUGGCUGAGGCUGAGGCUGUGGCUGUGGCUGUGUUGUAGGCUGGCAGUGGCAGCUCCGAUUUGACCCCUCGUCUGGGAACUUCCAUAUGCCGCAGGUGUGGCCGUAAAAAGACAAAAAAAAAUCAGUACUUUGCUGCCCAUUCCCAUGUUAACCAGUGACACACUUAAGAGGGCAUGCGUGGGAAGGGAAAUUCUUAUAAGCUCAGAGAGACAAACUAUACACCACAUUGUGUGAGGGAUCCAGGGAUGUGCAUUAUCCCUGGAUCUCUUCCGUGUAUGUGAGGGGCUAAUUCUUGGUAGGUAUUUGCCUAACGAGAUGUGUGAGUCCACCACAGCCUCGUCAGAGAGAAAUGUGAGGGACAUGCUACACUGAAUCUAUCUCCCAAACAAAGCCGUCCAUAGUGGGAUGGGGAAGCAAGUCUGAACAAUGCCAUGGCCAACUGCCCCAUCAGGCACGAGACUUCCUCUUUCAGAGCUCCUGGCUCUUCUAAGUACUACCCGGGCACCUCAGGAAAUGGAUGAAAAUCUCUGCCUCUCAGUAUCCUCAUCUGUAACAUGGGGAGAAUGAUGCUUAUGGCACAGAGUUAAUAUAACAGGGUUAUGUUAAUGUCUGUUACAGUAUCUGAUGUUUCCUUGUUAUAUUUAUUAGUUUCCAUUCUCUUCUCCUUCAUUAAAUCAACAGUCACAACAAUGGUCAUGAAAGAUACCACUGCCAAUUUCUCCUAUUAUUUUUAACAAAUGAUCCACAGCAUAUGUGCCAUAGAUUGAAGAUUUAAAGGCACAUUAACUUCUGUUGGCUGAUGUGGUGAUCUCAGUAACCUUCAGAGUUAGAUAAGAGGAGUGAUGUCAGGGAUACAGUGAGGAAGCAUGUGACCUGCCCAGAUUCAUAUGGUUGUCACGUGACAGAAGGUAAGCUCACAGGCUCAUUCUUUAUCUCCAAAGCCCAGUUCCUUUAACUGCACAGCAUUGCAUCUGUGAGUACUUGUCUAGAAAAACCAAGAACACUAAUGUGGCAGCCAUCAGCAACAAAGCUCACUUUACUAAAUGUAAUAUCCGUAAGGGGCCCUUGUGAGUUAUAGAAGCUUCUCCUGUGGCAUGACAAGUAUCUUUGCCAAAGUUCAUGGGUUCGGCUAAAGAUUUGAAAGACAAAGACCAGGUCUUAUUAGUGCCUCCAGCCUCAAGUGUUUGCUGCCAUCCUGUCAUACCAGACAAACUCAAUACCUUUUUGCUGGAUGAAUGGAUGGAUUUUGUAGGCAGUUAAUGAUUUACAAACUAUUUCUACAUCCUUCGUCUUACUUGAUUUUUUCCAAAGCUCUGGAACAUAAAGAAAAGCUGAUAUCAUUUUCUACAUUUAACACAUGAUGAUAUGCAGGUCACACCCAGGUUGCUGUUUUUGUCUUUCUUUGAAGGAUUACAAUGGAUUCAUGCUCCCUCCUGGAGCAGAACUCAGCUGAAUCCCACAUGCAGCUGUUGCCCUGCCACACAAGGCUGCUUAAAAGCCAGGACAGACACUGUUUUGUUAUUAUCUCUCAUAUCUUACAAAAUACAUUAAAUUCUGAAAAUCUCUGUGAUAAUUAAACUAAAAAAAAAAAAAAGAGCUGAAGCUGAACCAUUCAACCUAGAAUAACUAUUACAUUCCUAUUCUUUCCCUUUCUCACCUCCUUUUGGUCUCCAUUGUCUAUAGCAUGGGGUAUUCUUCUUCCUCCACAAAAAGAAUCCACUUCCUACAGAAUAGAGUUGUCAGAAUUGUGUGAACCUUGCUUUCUGUGUUAACCCUUCUGUUGGGUUUUAUAGCACACAUUUUUCCUGAAUGGUUUCCACCAUCAGUCUCAGCACUCUGAGAGCUCAUCCCAAAAGUGGUUUUGCUUUUUAGGGCCACAUCUGCAGCACAUGGAAGUUUCCAGGCUAGAGGUUGAAUUGGAGCUGCAGCUGCUGGCCUAUACCUUAGCCACAGCAACUCAGAAUCCAAACACAUCUGUGACCUACACCACAGCUCAUGGCAAUGCUGGAUCUUUAACCCACUGAGUGAGGCCAGGGAUUGAAUCCAUAUCCUCACGGAUCCUAGUCAGGUUCUUGACCCACUGACCUCAAUAGGAACUCCAAAAGUGGAGUCUUAUGAUGCCACAGCCUUAUACCAGGUCCAUUGGAGUCACCCAACAAAGCUGCACAGAUUGCUUAAUGUGGUUCUCAGGGUAUCCCAAAUUCAUAUCCUACUUAUCUUUGCAGCCCAUCUCCCACAUUUCCUCUCCAUAGGCUCUGCACUCUACCAGACCAAGAUAGUCAAAGACCCCCUAAAUAACUUCUCUGCAUUUCCACACACCAUCCCCGUCCCAUCACCACUACCAAGGAUGAAGCCUCCACUUCUAAAACCCCUCCGCAUCCUUCAAGGGCUUUCCCUUGAAACCAUCCCUCAUUUCCUUCAGCAAUUCACUCAACAAACAGUUUUUAAAAAAACCCCUUUACGCCCUAAAAAAGUUAUUCUUGAGGAGCUUAAUAUUUACCGAGCAAAAGAGACUCAGCGAAGAGAAACUCAACUCAUGAGGAUGCUGUAAUGAUAGCAUUGCAAAAGCAAUGGGUCAGCCGCUGGAGAGAAUUUGGGAGCCUCCAUCCAGACCUUGCUGAGACUGCUAG